CGGGUGAGUAACGCGUGGGUAACCUGCCUUAUACAGGGGGAUAACAGUCAGAAAUGGCUGCUAAUACCGCAUAAGCGCACAGAGCUGCAUGGCUCAGUGUGAAAAACUCCGGUGGUAUGAGAUGGACCCGCGUCUGAUUAGGUAGUUGGUGGGGUAACGGCCUACCAAGCCGACGAUCAGUAGCCGACCUGAGAGGGUGACCGGCCACAUUGGGACUGAGACACGGCCCAA
Molecule: ribosomal RNA, 231 nt
Filed under: uncultured bacterium
Lineage: Bacteria
Description: partial 16S ribosomal RNA
Rfam family: Bacterial small subunit ribosomal RNA
Source: RNAcentral